RNAcentral lists this ribosomal RNA (301 nucleotides) under uncultured bacterium. RNAcentral describes it as "partial 16S ribosomal RNA". It matches the Rfam family "Bacterial small subunit ribosomal RNA", at positions 509 to 809 of the family's 1533-position model. The record is from RNAcentral.
CAGUAGCCACGGUAAUACGUAGGUGGCAAGCGUUGUCCGGAAUUAUUGGGCGUAAAGGGCUCGCAGGCGGUUUCUUAAGUCUGAUGUGAAAGCCCCCGGUUCAACCGGGGAGGGUCAUUGGAAACUGGGAAACUCGAGUGCAGAAGAGGAGAGUGGAAUUCCACGUGUAGCGGUGAAAUGCGUAGAGAUGUGGAGGAACACCAGUGGCGAAGGCGACUCUCUGGUCUGUAACUGACGCUGAGGAGCGAAAGCGUGGGGAGCGAACAGGAUUAGAUACCCCAGUAGUCCCUGUCUCUUAUGC